This 1265-nucleotide ribosomal RNA is filed under the name uncultured Bacillus sp. Its description in RNAcentral is "bacterial SSU rRNA". It matches the Rfam family "Bacterial small subunit ribosomal RNA", at positions 70 to 1321 of the family's 1533-position model. The record is from RNAcentral. Lineage: Bacteria; Bacillati; Bacillota; Bacilli; Caryophanales; Bacillaceae.
AGAAGGGAGCUUGCUCCCGGAUGUUAGCGGCGGACGGGUGAGUAACACGUGGGUAACCUGCCUGUAAGACUGGGAUAACUCCGGGAAACCGGAGCUAAUACCGGAUAGUUCCUUGAACCGCAUGGUUCAAGGAUGAAAGACGGUUUCGGCUGUCACUUACAGAUGGACCCGCGGCGCAUUAGCUAGUUGGUGAGGUAACGGCUCACCAAGGCGACGAUGCGUAGCCGACCUGAGAGGGUGAUCGGCCACACUGGGACUGAGACACGGCCCAGACUCCUACGGGAGGCAGCAGUAGGGAAUCUUCCGCAAUGGACGAAAGUCUGACGGAGCAACGCCGCGUGAGUGAUGAAGGUUUUCGGAUCGUAAAGCUCUGUUGUUAGGGAAGAACAAGUGCAAGAGUAACUGCUUGCACCUUGACGGUACCUAACCAGAAAGCCACGGCUAACUACGUGCCAGCAGCCGCGGUAAUACGUAGGUGGCAAGCGUUGUCCGGAAUUAUUGGGCGUAAAGGGCUCGCAGGCGGUUUCUUAAGUCUGAUGUGAAAGCCCCCGGCUCAACCGGGGAGGGUCAUUGGAAACUGGGAAACUUGAGUGCAGAAGAGGAGAGUGGAAUUCCACGUGUAGCGGUGAAAUGCGUAGAGAUGUGGAGGAACACCAGUGGCGAAGGCGACUCUCUGGUCUGUAACUGACGCUGAGGAGCGAAAGCGUGGGGAGCGAACAGGAUUAGAUACCCUGGUAGUCCACGCCGUAAACGAUGAGUGCUAAGUGUUAGGGGGUUUCCGCCCCUUAGUGCUGCAGCUAACGCAUUAAGCACUCCGCCUGGGGAGUACGGUCGCAAGACUGAAACUCAAAGGAAUUGACGGGGGCCCGCACAAGCGGUGGAGCAUGUGGUUUAAUUCGAAGCAACGCGAAGAACCUUACCAGGUCUUGACAUCCUCUGACAACCCUAGAGAUAGGGCUUUCCCUUCGGGGACAGAGUGACAGGUGGUGCAUGGUUGUCGUCAGCUCGUGUCGUGAGAUGUUGGGUUAAGUCCCGCAACGAGCGCAACCCUUGAUCUUAGUUGCCAGCAUUUAGUUGGGCACUCUAAGGUGACUGCCGGUGACAAACCGGAGGAAGGUGGGGAUGACGUCAAAUCAUCAUGCCCCUUAUGACCUGGGCUACACACGUGCUACAAUGGACAGAACAAAGGGCUGCGAGACCGCAAGGUUUAGCCAAUCCCACAAAUCUGUUCUCAGUUCGGAUCGCAGUCUGCAACUCGACUGCGU